Molecule: long non-coding RNA, 551 nt
Filed under: Mus musculus (house mouse)
Lineage: Eukaryota; Metazoa; Chordata; Mammalia; Rodentia; Muridae
Description: RIKEN cDNA 2010309G21 gene
Source: RNAcentral
AGAAAACACUGAGAUAACCAACUAUGAUAAACUGCAGUUGGAAUUUAACGACCCAGUGGAUGGGAAACAAAGGGAAGAAAUGAGACUUGAAAAAACAAACAAACAGGGAGAUCAAGUGAAGGGUGGGCAGACCUCUAUUUGACUGAUGCUUGCUCCCUUUGAAGGUAUGUAGGAAAUUUUGUAGUACUGAGACCUGUGCCUCUGAGAAUCCCUUGAAACCUGACAGACUCAAGGAAACUAAGAAAUAAAAUUACAGAAUAUCUAUUGGCACCUACUUCUACAAAAGACCAGCUGAAACAUCUAACCUGGUGGGACUGAGCAACUACUAGAUUCUUCGACUUCCCAUUCACAGUGACUUCUGGCUGUUUCCACUGACUUGGGCUGAUUGACAGAGACUCUUCUGUUUGUUCUGGAUGAACUGCCAUUGCUGAUUCAUAGAGAGAAUCUACAAGUGACUUGAGGUACUGCUGCUGAUCUGUGUGAACUGAACUGCAAAUAUUUUGACAAGAUUGGAAUUGCCCCAAAUAAAUGUUUCUAAAUAGGUCCACAUC